This 253-nucleotide ribosomal RNA is filed under the name uncultured bacterium. RNAcentral's name for it is "partial 16S ribosomal RNA". It matches the Rfam family "Bacterial small subunit ribosomal RNA", at positions 524 to 776 of the family's 1533-position model. The record is from RNAcentral.
UACGGAGGGUGCAAGCGUUGUCCGGAUUUAUUGGGUUUAAAGGGUGCGUAGGCGGCCCGUUAAGUCAGCGGUGAAAUCCCGGGGCUCAACCCCGGAACUGCCGUUGAUACUGGCGAGCUUGAGUCCAGACGAGGUUGGCGGAAUGGAUGCUGUAGCGGUGAAAUGCAUAGAUAGCAUCCAGAACCCCGAUUGCGUAGGCAGCUGACUAGGCUGGUACUGACACUGAGGCACGAAAGCGUGGGGAGCGAACAGG